RNAcentral lists this small RNA (899 nucleotides) under Pan troglodytes (chimpanzee). RNAcentral describes it as "processed transcript". Lineage: Eukaryota; Metazoa; Chordata; Mammalia; Primates; Hominidae. The record is from RNAcentral.
GGGCUGGGUGGCGGUUGAGACAGCGGCGGUACUGGGAGGCGUAGGUGAGGGUCGUGAGGCUGCCUGAGCUUCUGAGCAAGCGCGGUGCUUUUGGGAACGCGGGACGGGCGAUCUGCGGCGCCAGGAGCUGGGCCGAGGCGUGGUGGCGCGGCUGCCGGCUGCCCUCUGAAUGGGAAGGUACGCGAAGUCCACCCGCGUUUCUGAGGCAAUCUGAAGGCAAAUCCUGUUUAGACCCAGGCGAAGGUUCCUGGUGACCCAGGCUCUCACCAGCCAAUUGUCCCUUGCCGUCCUCCUGAGGGCGUCUGGAGCUUCAGUGCUGUGUGCUCUUGGCCUCCACACUGGGGAUGCCACUGACUCCCACUGUCCAGGGCUUCCAGUGGACUCUCCGAGGCCCUGAUGUAGAAACUUCCCCAUUGGGUGCACCAAGAGCAGCCUCACAUGGUGUGGGCCGACAUCAAGAGCUGCCAGAUCCAACAGGUCCUGGGGGAGUAGGAGCCAGUGCAAGGAGAGAAGUCCAGUGAGAAAGACAAAUGGAUGACAUCAGACCCAGGGGCUGAGGUCCCCAGCUGCAGCUGGGUAGCUUCUGGAGUGGACAAGGAGCAACAGGGAAGUUCGUGGCCUGGUGUUCUGGGAUGCAUUGUCUUAUCUCAUUCUUGUGAGCACCAGAACUUAUCCAAAGACAAGACUCAGUGUCUCUGGCAACAGUGGGCCAGAGACAGAAUGUGUGAAUUUCAGAGGAGGAGGAAGGGGUUGUACCCCAUGGAAACAGUAUGUGGUUUUACAGUAGUGCAUCUUUCUCUAAUAACUGGUUAGCGUGUUCCUGUUAAUGGAAAAUAUUGGUGGUGUAAGUUUCCCCACUGUUCUCAUCUUCAUGUAAAUUUGUUCAUUUCCUUCCUUCC